UUUAAAACAACAAAUUGGAUUGCUCUUUCAUUAGCCUUUAUAAGCAAUUUAUAUUUGCUAGACACAAAUAAGCCCAACUUCAGGAAAAUCAUCUAAGCAUCUUUUUAGAGGGGAUUUAAAGUUUCUUAAUGGUUCUAGAUGUCCCAAGAAAUCCUAGACCCCUUGUAUCCAAAACAAAUCAGGUUUUAGAUGGGAAGAAAUUAUUUUGCUGGCACUCUUUCUUAGGUUCGGUAGAAAGUCAAACAUUUUAUAUUAGGCCAAAGAAAUAGUGUCCUAUUGCAUUAUUUCUCUGGUGGAUUAUGCAACAAUUAAAGAAUAAGCCAGAGACCUUUGUUAAUAAUGUAUAAUUUGAAAAUAAAGACAGUACUUCAUUCCUUGUUAAAACAAGCUCGUUAACCAGUCUAAGAGACCCAGAUACCAACACAACGAUAUGGCCGGAGACCAUAUGGUGUUGGUCUCCUUAUUGCUGGUUAUGAUGAUAUGGGCCCUCACAUUUUCCAAACCUGUCCAUCUGCUAACUAUUUUGACUGCAGAGCCAUGUCCAUUGGAGCCCGUUCCCAAUCAGCUCGUACUUACUUGGAGAGACAUAUGUCUGAAUUUAUGGAGUGUAAUUUAAAUGAACUAGUUAAACAUGGUCUGCGUGCC
This 645-nucleotide long non-coding RNA is filed under the name Homo sapiens (human). RNAcentral describes it as "non-protein coding lnc-PSMA1-2:6". Lineage: Eukaryota; Metazoa; Chordata; Mammalia; Primates; Hominidae. The record is from RNAcentral.